Gambusia affinis (western mosquitofish) is the source of this 302-nucleotide long non-coding RNA. RefSeq lists it as uncharacterized. The record is from RefSeq and is a predicted model, not a curated record. Lineage: Eukaryota; Metazoa; Chordata; Actinopteri; Cyprinodontiformes; Poeciliidae. The transcript has 4 exons.
CGCAAACUACCACGUCGUUGUGGGAGGGAUUGCCAAAGUGUUCCCUGCCAUACCCCUGCUUAGACGACAGGGAAUCGCUUCUGUUCUGCUGGCCUACCUCAAAAGCUCUACCUCUGUCAUCAACAAGCCAGCUUGCAGGAUGGGACUCGAGACCGAUGUUGAAUGGAUUGAAACAAACCUGGGACCCUUUUCUCAAUACACAACUUACUCUGACCUCAAAGCCUUCAACCUCUCCCAGGCAACAGUCGUAGGUGCCCUCACAGAGCAACAGAAGGCAGAGCUAAUACUGGAUCCAGGCAGCG